CUUACACCUCUGCUCUUUCCUGAUUGUCUCAUCUGGCCUCUGAUACCCAAACGCUAAUCAAUGAUGCACAGCAGGCCAUCAGAACUAGCUGCAGAGGAAAGCAUUCUUCUCUCAAGUUUGGUAGAAAUCACAGAGUCGUUAAGUUUGGAGAAGACCUCUAAGGCCAUCAAGUCCAACAGUCAACCCAUGACCACCAUGCCCACUAACCCAUGUCCCUAAAUAGAAUCACAGAAACUUUAAGGUUGGAAAAGACCUCUAAGAUCAUCAAGUUCAACCUGAAUCCAUCCCCACCAUUCCCAC
RNAcentral lists this long non-coding RNA (300 nucleotides) under Gallus gallus (chicken). Lineage: Eukaryota; Metazoa; Chordata; Aves; Galliformes; Phasianidae. The record is from RNAcentral.